AUUGAACGCUGGAGGCAGGCCUAACACAUGCAAGUCGAGCGGAUGAAGGGAGCUUGCUCCUGGAUUCAGCGGCGGACGGGUGAGUAAUGCCUAGGAAUCUGCCUGGUAGUGGGGGAUAACGUCCGGAAACGGGCGCUAAUACCGCAUACGUCCUGAGGGAGAAAGUGGGGGAUCUUCGGACCUCACGCUAUCAGAUGAGCCUAGGUCGGAUUAGCUAGUUGGUGGGGUAAAGGCCUACCAAGGCGACGAUCCGUAACUGGUCUGAGAGGAUGAUCAGUCACACUGGAACUGGGACACGGUCCAGACUCCUACGGGAGGCAGCAGUGGGGAAUAUUGGACAAUGGGCGAAAGCCUGAUCCAGCCAUGCCGCGUGUGUGAAGAAGGCCUUCGGAUUGUAAAGCACUUUAAGUUGGGAGGAAGGGCAGUAAGUUAAUACCUUGCUGUUUUGACGUUACCAACAGAAUAAGCACCGGCUAACUUCGUG
This 484-nucleotide ribosomal RNA is filed under the name uncultured bacterium. RNAcentral's name for it is "partial 16S ribosomal RNA". It matches the Rfam family "Bacterial small subunit ribosomal RNA", at positions 30 to 507 of the family's 1533-position model. The record is from RNAcentral.